Molecule: long non-coding RNA, 1284 nt
Filed under: Meleagris gallopavo (turkey)
Lineage: Eukaryota; Metazoa; Chordata; Aves; Galliformes; Phasianidae
Description: lncRNA (ENSMGAG00000022566.1)
Source: RNAcentral
CCUGCUUACACAAUGCUGGAGACUGUACUAACAGAAUUACAAGCAGCUGCAGCCCUGCACUAAACAGGGGCUGCGCAUGGAGAUAGGGGUGGAGCUCAAUAUGAUGAAAACAAAUGUCAUCCUUGUUAAAAUCCAUAUAUUACCUAAGGUGGUGUGAGCUAAAAAGGACCAGAUUGGGGUAUAGCCCAGGUAUGCUCCAAAGCUAAGAGGUAGAAACUGCAGAAGAAAGAAGGAUUGGAAUAAAUCACCAGUGCACACAAAACAAGGACAGUCCUGCCUGAACUGAUGCUUUUUUUUCUUUAUCUUUUCAGAGAUGGGUUCAUUGCAGCUGCUUCUGCUCACUGAAGUCUAGCAAUCUUCUACUUGCAGGAAUUGUUGCCUACUGAAUUCAGUGCCAGGGAUUUAUGGUAUCACAUCACAGACAUAAUAAAUAACAGAAUUUCUACUAAUUAGACCAAGGACACAACUCAUCUGAGUUUUGACACAAAAUUUCAUAGCAUGCCUGAGUUAUGGUUAUGAGUUAUGAGGGCAUGGUUGAUACCACACUGAUAAGGAAGAGAAACCAACAGACUAUCCAGAGAUGGUCUGUUUUGGCAAUUUCUAUGUGUAAGAUAACACUAUAAUAUAGGUAUCCUGCUAUCUUUGAUUUAGAGAAACUAUGGAGACACUCCCAAUUACAGUGGAGACCAAACCACCACAGCAGCAUCAGCAAUCACACACACUUGGACUUAACCUAUCUUUGCAUGACCAACCAUUUGGUUUAAUAGCAGAAUUUCAGGACUGUUGGCUUCAGCUGGAGCAGGAGCCUUCUGGAAGGGCUCUGCAGUGGCAGAUGGUGGUUGUGGCCCCACGUUCCCAAGAAUAUUGGCCCCAAGCUCUGCUCUCCCAUGGGUGCCUCAAGCAACAGGAGUCCUCUAUGCAGACACAGGAGGGAGAAGAGGUGACGUGAAGAAAUAGGUCACAUAUGUUUCACACAGACUAUACAAGAUUUCAUAGAAUUAUAGAAUGAUUUGGGUUGUAAGGAACUUGACAAGUUUCUGUUUAUGGAGGGAAAGAAAAUGCAAGUGAGACCCAGAGCUUAACAGAGUAACCCUCUGGGUUCAAUCAACAACAAGGCAUGGUACAAAGAAAGGCUCGCUCUCACUGUCUUGUUUGGCUUGUUUUAUUUUUCUCCUGGGUAAAUUGAUUCUUCCACUCACUGCCGUGCUGUAAUUUGCUCAUAGUAUUUCAGUAUGAUUGCAAUCACUAUUAGACUGAAAAAGUGAAAAAGUAAGACUGGAAAAA